This 497-nucleotide ribosomal RNA is filed under the name uncultured bacterium. RNAcentral describes it as "partial 16S ribosomal RNA". It matches the Rfam family "Bacterial small subunit ribosomal RNA", at positions 28 to 507 of the family's 1533-position model. The record is from RNAcentral.
GAUGAACGCUGGCGGCGUGCCUAAUACAUGCAAGUCGAGCGAACAGAUGAGGAGCUUGCUCCUCUGACGUUAGCGGCGGACGGGUGAGUAACACGUGGAUAACCUACCUAUAAGACUGGGAUAACUUCGGGAAACCGGAGCUAAUACCGGAUAAUAUAUUGAACCGCAUGGUUCAAUAGUGAAAGACGGUUUUGCUGUCACUUAUAGAUGGAUCCGCGCCGCAUUAGCUAGUUGGUAAGGUAACGGCUUACCAAGGCAACGAUGCGUAGCCGACCUGAGAGGGGGAUCGGCCACACUGGAACUGAGACACGGUCCAGACUCCUACGGGAGGCAGCAGUAGGGAAUCUUCCGCAAUGGGCGAAAGCCUGACGAAGCAACGCCGCGUGAGUGAUGAAGGUCUUCGGAUCGUAAAACUCUGUUAUUAGGGAAGAACAAAUGUGUAAGUAACUAUGCACGUCUUGACGGUACCUAAUCAGAAAGCCACGGCUAACUACGUG